This 460-nucleotide ribosomal RNA is filed under the name uncultured bacterium. RNAcentral's name for it is "bacterial SSU rRNA". It matches the Rfam family "Bacterial small subunit ribosomal RNA", at positions 29 to 524 of the family's 1533-position model. The record is from RNAcentral.
AACGAACGCUGGCGGCAUGCCUAACACAUGCAAGUCGAACGGGAUCCGGACUUCGGUCCGGUGAGAGUGGCGGACGGGUGAGUAACACGUGGGAACCUGCCUUUUGGUUCGGGAUAACCGCGGGAAACUGCGGCUAAUACCGGAUGCUCCCGAGAGGGAAAAGAUUUAUCGCCAGAAGAGGGGCCCGCGUCCGAUUAGGUAGUUGGUGGGGUAAUGGCCUACCAAGCCGACGAUCGGUAGCUGGUCUGAGAGGAUGAUCAGCCACACUGGGACUGAGAUACGGCCCAGACUCCUACGGGAGGCAGCAGUGGGGAAUAUUGGACAAUGGGGGCAACCCUGAUCCAGCAAUGCCGCGUGAGUGAUGAAGGCCUUAGGGUUGUAAAGCUCUUUUACCCGGGAUGAUAAUGACAAUACCGGGAGAAUAAGCCCCGGCUAACUCCGUGCCAGCAGCCGCGGUAAU